Molecule: ribosomal RNA, 541 nt
Filed under: uncultured archaeon
Lineage: Archaea
Description: bacterial SSU rRNA
Rfam family: Archaeal small subunit ribosomal RNA
Source: RNAcentral
CAGCCGCCGCGGUAAUACCGGCGGCUCGAGUGGUGGCCACUUUAUUGGGCUUAAAGCGUUCGUAGCUGGGUUAUUAAGUCCCUUGGGAAAUCCGACAGCUUAACUGUCGGGCGUCUAAGAGAUACUGGUAAUCUUGGAACCGGGAGAGGUGAGGGGUACUUCGGGGGUAGGAGUGAAAUCCUGUAAUCCUCGAGGGACCACCUGUGGCGAAGGCGCCUCACCAGAACGGCUUCGACAGUGAGGGACGAAAGCUGGGGGAGCAAACCGGAUUAGAUACCCGGGUAGUCCCAGCCGUAAACGAUGUGCGUUAGGUGUAUCGGUGACCACGAGUCACCGAGGUGCCGAAGGGAAACCGUGAAACGUACCGCCUGGGAAGUACGGUCGCAAGGCUGAAACUUAAAGGAAUUGGCGGGGGAGCACCACAACAGGUGGAGCCUGGUACGGUUUAAUUGGACUCAACGCCGGAAAUCUCACCGGAUAAGACAGCAGAAUGAUUGCCGGGCUGAAGACUCUGCAUGACUAGCUGAGGGGAGGUGCAUGG